This 771-nucleotide ribosomal RNA is filed under the name uncultured Neocallimastigales. RNAcentral's name for it is "partial large subunit ribosomal RNA". It matches the Rfam family "Eukaryotic large subunit ribosomal RNA", at positions 24 to 628 of the family's 3401-position model. The record is from RNAcentral. Lineage: Eukaryota; Fungi; Neocallimastigomycota; Neocallimastigomycetes; Neocallimastigales.
GUAGUCUCGCACAGAUGCAUAUCAAUAAGCGGAGGAAAAGAAACUAACAAGGAUUCCCUCAGUAACGGCGAGUGAAGCGGGAAGAGCUCAAAUUUGAAAUCUUGAAAGGUCACCUUUCACGAAUUGUAGUUUAAAGAAGUGUUUUCUGUUACGAUCGUAAUAUAAGUUCUUUGGAAUAGGACAUCACAGAGGGUGAGAAUCCCGUCUAUGAUUGCGAUUUGUAGCUUUGUGAUACACUUUCAAAGAGUCGGGUUGUUUGGGAAUGCAGCUCAAAACGGGAGGUAAAUUUCUUCUAAGGCUAAAUAUUGGCGAGAGACCGAUAGCGAACAAGUACCGUGAGGGAAAGAUGAAAAGAACUUUGAAAAGAGAGUUAAAUAGUACGUGAAAUUGUCAAAAGGGAAGCGUUUAACACCAGUGUUGUUUUCUGAAAAUCAACCUCUGUUAGCUUUAUGCAUGUUUGUUUAGACCUAAUCAGCUAUCUUGCAUGUUCUAUUGUUUGCAGUGGUGCACUUUUCAGUUUACAGGUCAACAUCAGUUUUUUUUACCGUAAAAAAGUUAAAGAAAGGUAGCUCAUGGCUCCGGUCGUGAGUGUUAUAGUCUUUUUCCUAUGCGGUAGGAGAGACUGAGGUCUGCAGUGUAGGCUAUUUGGCUAGAUACUCAGGUGCUAUGUGAUACCAUUUCAUAAACAACUUGUUGAUUAUGUUUUGUCUAUUGCAUACUCGCUUGUACUAUCAUACCUACGCUUAGGAUGUUGAGUCGUAGAGCACGCAG